Molecule: transfer RNA, 71 nt
Filed under: Bos taurus (domestic cattle)
Lineage: Eukaryota; Metazoa; Chordata; Mammalia; Artiodactyla; Bovidae
Also listed under: 5 other names
Rfam family: tRNA
About the family: Transfer RNA (tRNA) molecules are approximately 80 nucleotides in length. Their secondary structure includes four short double-helical elements and three loops (D, anti-codon, and T loops). Further hydrogen bonds mediate the characteristic L-shaped molecular structure. tRNAs have two regions of fundamental functional importance: the anti-codon, which is responsible for specific mRNA codon recognition, and the 3' end, to which the tRNAs corresponding amino acid is attached (by aminoacyl-tRNA synthetases). tRNAs cope with the degeneracy of the genetic code in two manners: having more than one tRNA (with a specific anti-codon) for a particular amino acid; and 'wobble' base-pairing, i.e. permitting non-standard base-pairing at the 3rd anti-codon position.
Source: Rfam by way of RNAcentral
UCCUAGUAGCUCAGACAGUAAAGCAUCUGCCUGCAAUGCAGGAGACCCAGGUUUGAUUCCUGGGUCAGGAA